GAGAAACUAGCCUCAUUCUCAUAAACAGAAGCUGGAGUGGGAGGUGACAGUGGUGGCAGUGAAAUUGGUGGCCUGGACCUGCCAUAGUCCCAGCUGAGCCCCAGUCAAUGAGAAGACCACACUGAUGGAUGAGCCUAGAGGUUACAGCCUGCUUUUCAAGGUGAUAAUGAACUCACAGACUUCAGUACCACCUUCUGCUGGACAGUGUCAGGAUAUUAAUUAUUCCCUCCCAUAGCCCUGAAUGAAUACAAAGCCCUAAAUUGGUAAGGAAGUCUAUUGGACUGGUAGGAAAUAUUUCUCAUUGCCUGGGAAAGGAAGAAUUGGUUAGAUGGUGUGAAAUUCAACCGUGGGACUCAUAUCUCUGCCCACAGAUGCUGCAAAAUGGGGACCUAGACUUCUUGGUUUGUUCUCACACUACAGAAGUGCAGAAAUUUCAUGUGAGUCUUUUAAAUUAUCUUCCAUCUGUUUCUUAGAAUAUCGAGGGUUAGAGAAAGGUCUAAAGCUUUAUCUUAGCAAGUGCCGUAUGAUUAAUAUAUCAGUCCUGGCUUCAUCUCUCACUGACACAGUUAUUAGGUUUCAAAUAAUUAUUUUGUUUCUAAAUUUUAAACUUGAAGGGAAAGGUUAUUUGCUUUUGCUAUUAGUUUUUCUUUUUAUUGUGAAAAUUUCAACAUAUGGAAAAGUUGAAAGCAUAAUACAAAUACCUAUAUACUUUUCACAGUGGUAUAUAUGUUUGUACCAACAUGCAUAUAUGCGUAUGUUGGUGUGUAUUUUUUUUUUUUUUGCUAGAUCAUUCUUAGAUUAAGUUACAGACACAAGGCUAUUUCACACUUAAAUGUGACAGCAAACAUUUCCUGAGAAUAAGGAUCUUCUGCAUUACCACCGUACAACUGUUAGUCCUGAAAAUGUUUAUGCCCAGGCUACAACCUACAUCACGAAAUCAAAAUCUUUGUAAAGAAACCCUAGACAUAAGUAUGUUUUAAAGCUCCCAAGUGAUUACAAUGUACAACAGUAGAGAACCACUGUUUACAGAUCUAGUAAAUCCAAGUUAAACAUUUUCAAGAAAGAAAACAUUGUUUUUGCUUUUUAAUAUGCAUAAGAAUGUGGUAAUCUUUAGCAGGUCUACAUUACAGAUUUUAAAUCAAAAUGUCACAAUAAUUUACAUUUCCUUAUGUUUUCUGUACAUGUUUAAUAUGAUUUUUAAAAAUAUCUCUUUCAUAUAAAUAUAUUUGAUCUUCCUUUCAAUUUCUUCUAUAUGAUCGUUUAAAGUGCAUAAACUAUGUAUCGUUAUGGGAAUCUCAAAUACAUUUAUCUUUAAAGUUAAAUAACUUUAAACAAAAAUAUUUAUACAUGUGUAAUUUAAUAAAUGUUUAAUAAAUCAGAUAUGACUCUUAUGUAAAACAUAAAGCUUCUUCAUAAUCUAUCAUGUCAUCAAAUUUCACAUUUACAAGAAUAAAAGUUCCAGCAAGCAAAAGUCAAAAUCUAAAUGGAAUACAUGUUAAUAUUUUAAGAAUGUUCUUUCAUGUGUUAAAACUCUUGAUGUUUCUUAUAACAAAACAUUAACCCUAAGUAAACAAAUAUAA
Long non-coding RNA from Herpailurus yagouaroundi (jaguarundi), 1580 nucleotides. RefSeq lists it as uncharacterized. Lineage: Eukaryota; Metazoa; Chordata; Mammalia; Carnivora; Felidae. The transcript has 4 exons. The record is from RefSeq and is a predicted model, not a curated record.